RNAcentral lists this transfer RNA (77 nucleotides) under Bacteroidia bacterium. Its description in RNAcentral is "tRNA-Thr". It matches the Rfam family "tRNA". From Rfam's summary of the family: Transfer RNA (tRNA) molecules are approximately 80 nucleotides in length. The record is from RNAcentral. Lineage: Bacteria; Pseudomonadati; Bacteroidota; Bacteroidia.
GGCCACCGUAGCUCAGUCGGUAGAGCAGCGCAUUCGUAACGCGCAGGUCACCAGUUCGAGUCUGGUCGGUGGCUCCC